GUACCAAUACCAAAUUUGAGUACCAUUGUAUCACUGUUCAAAGCACUGUCAAAUUCCUUUCAUCCUUUAAUAACUCUAAGAUCCUUGAAUCUUCAGUCUGAUUUUUGCUGGAAACAAAAACGGAACCAUUGACUAGUAAUUUCUUCAGAAGCACAGAUGUUCUGCAAACAGUCCUUUCCUGUGUGUCUUCUGUUACCCUCACAGCAGAGUUAUUUUGAUUGGCUGUUUGUUUAGUUUCUUUGUUUUUAAUCCCCGGCUGGCACUUUACUCAUUGCAGUUGAGUUUAUUGCCCCGUUACUGAAGAACUCAGGAUGACCCUGGAAAGGAGAUCUGGGUUUCAGAGAUUUCCCAUCUAAGAAGAAAAUGUCCUAGAGUUCUUGAUUCUUUUCCAAACAGUCCCCUACUUUUAUUUACAGCUUUCUCUUUACCUUGUCCAAAAUUUAGCCUUGAAGCAGUUUCCCUCUGUGGCUUUGCCUUUCUCAUAUUCUCAGAGGCUUCAAGUUUUAAUGAAAUCCCAGGAUCCAAGAACCAAGGGGAGGGGUGGGAUGGCACUUUUUCUCAUUCUUGUUUAUUUUGAGGGGUCUUUUUUUUUUUCUUUGGUUGGUUUAAGAUUAGCCAUUCUCUGCUGCUAUUUCUUUAUAUAAUGUAAGUUUUUAACUGCAAUUUUGAGAUGAUUGAGAUUUACUUGAGGCUCUACUAGCAAAGCUACAGAUAAGACCCAUGGGUAGCCAACUUUCUCUUCGAGGGACUGGAAUCUAGAUUCUGACAUUUGUCCACCAACAAUGGCAAAGGAAAAAGUGGUGCAAGUAUGCCAUCCAUUUAACUCAUAAGCAUAUUACCCUGAGUAACUAUGGCCAGCCAUUCAUCGGAUCCUUGAUUGGGUAGUCCUGAAAUCAGACAUGUUCCUGUAGAAAGAAUUUUAAGUGAGGCUCUCUAUGCACCUAUCAAGAAUAAAGAGAAAAGAUUGUAUCAAACAACGGCAGGGAAAAUCCUUCAGCAAUUCUGAUCCACUUUGGGUUUUCAAUGAUAUGUACAUCUAAAGCAAUAGCAGACUAGAACUGAAUUCUUUUCUACACUAUAAAAUCACAAUUGUGGAAUUACAAGAGUUCUGGCGAUAGUAAUGUGAAAUAACCAAAACACACACACAUACAAAUAGAAGGCCCCACUUUAACAAUUGAUAUGACAAGAAAUUUUAAUGAGAGAACCUAUAACUUCAUUUUGGAAAUGUUUCCCCACCAAAUAAGGGCUUGUCCUCCUAUCAUUUAAGGAGCCAGAUGAAUUAGAAGCCGUAGAAGGAGGCAGCUGUAGAAUUUGAUCUUCCAAGUACCCCCGUACAUGUAUUGAAUUCAAUCAUAAUGCUGUCAAAUUGCUCUGAUCUCAUGAAAGGAUUUCUAUUUGCUGUCAGUUAAAAAUAAAACCCCAAAUACAUUUUUAUUCUUUCUACUGGGUGCAUUGUCUGUUUUCUUUGUAAAUGUAGUACAAUAAACAAAUUAUUU
Molecule: long non-coding RNA, 1496 nt
Filed under: Equus asinus (donkey)
Lineage: Eukaryota; Metazoa; Chordata; Mammalia; Perissodactyla; Equidae
Description: lncRNA (ENSEASG00005032820.1)
Source: RNAcentral